Molecule: ribosomal RNA, 253 nt
Filed under: uncultured bacterium
Lineage: Bacteria
Description: partial 16S ribosomal RNA
Rfam family: Bacterial small subunit ribosomal RNA
Source: RNAcentral
UACGUAGGGUGCAAGCGUUGUCCGGAAUUAUUGGGCGUAAAGAGCUCGUAGGCGGUUUGUCGCGUCUGCUGUGAAAACUCGGGGCUUAACUCCGGGCCUGCAUUCGAUACUGGCGUGCUUGAGGACUGGAGAGGAGACUGGAAUUCAUGGUGUAGCAGUGAAAUGCGUAGAGAUCAUGAGGAAGACCAGUGGCGAAGGCGGGUCUCUGGACAGUUCCUGACACUGAGACACGAAGGCCAGGGGAGCAAACGGG